RNAcentral lists this ribosomal RNA (410 nucleotides) under bacterium enrichment culture clone ALO1_GLFRUDD03HKJPC. Its description in RNAcentral is "bacterial SSU rRNA". It matches the Rfam family "Bacterial small subunit ribosomal RNA", at positions 9 to 420 of the family's 1533-position model. The record is from RNAcentral.
GAGUUUGAUCAUGGCUCAGAUUGAACGCUGGCGGCAUGCCUUACACAUGCAAGUCGAACGGCAGCACGGGAGCUUGCUCCUGGUGGCGAGUGACGAACGGGUGAGUAAUGCAUCGGAACGUAUCCUGGAGUGGGGGAUAACGUAGCGAAAGUUACGCUAAUACCGCAUAUUCUGUGAGCAGGAAAGCGGGGGACCUUCGGGCCUCGCGCUCUUGGAGCGGCCGAUGUCGGAUUAGCUAGUUGGUGAGGUAAAGGCUCACCAAGGCGACGAUCCGUAGCAGGUCUGAGAGGAUGAUCUGCCACACUGGAACUGAGACACGGUCCAGACUCCUACGGGAGGCAGCAGUGGGAAUUUUGGACAAUGGGGGCAACCCUGAUCCAGCCAUGCCGCGUGAGUGAAGAAGGCCUCGG